CUCAAAAAAGAGAAAAGAUAGGGAUAGCGGAGAUGCAGUUUGUACAAAUAUAGCCGGUUGCAUCCGGUAGCAGGUAAACAAGGCCACAAAGAGAACCAAGUUGCAGUAAUAACUCAGUUCAGACUUCAGACUCAGAGAGAGUAUUUCUCUCAGAGCCUCCGCUCCGUCUGGUCUUAAGUGAUAGCUGGCCGUUUUUUCGUCAGACAGAGAGAAAGAAAGGUAUGAAGAGGGGUGGCGGAGGCUCUGAGAUAGCGGAGGCAUCAAAGUCGUUUCUAGUUCCGUCCUUUUCACGAAUUGCAGAAAUCAAAGUCCUAUUUCCGCCAUUAGAGCUCUGAAUAUUCUGGGCGGGAACAUCUGAACGCGUAGCUUAUGGAGGUAUUAAAGAGUAUGCACGAAUGGUAGUGUAUUACCACUCGACCUUUGAAACUGAAAGGACUGAAUCUUGGAUUUGGAGGGUUUGGUUUGCAGAUAUAACGAUCGCACAGCUCGGCGGUGGAUCGCUUCACGAACCAGAAGACGAGGACACCACCGGCACGCCGAGCACUAAGCAAGCCAUUAAAGCUCUCACCGCCCAGACGGAAACUUUUCAGAUCAAGGACAUGGCUUUGAAGGCCUCGGGAGCUUAUCGACAUUGCAAGCCAUGUUCAGGAUCGUCGGGAAAUCAUCACCACCAGAACUACGCUGAGUCCGACGCGGCCUCGGUAUCGGAGAGAUUUCACUGCUCGUACCGUCGGACGGGAACUUUUAGCUCGAGCUCAACGCCGAGAAUAUGGGGGAAAGAGAUGGAAAACAGAUUAAAAGGGCUUUCAAGUGGCGAAGGGACCCCGCCAUCAAUGAGCGGCCGAACUGAAUCAGUUAUUUUCAUGGAGGAAGAAGAGCCCAAGGAGUGGGUGGCACAGGUUGAGCCCGGUGUUCUCAUUACCUUCCUUUCGCUGCCUCAGGGAGGUAACGAUCUCAAGAGAAUCCGGUUCAGUCGAGAGAUGUUCAACAAAUGGCAAGCUCAGAGGUGGUGGGCUGAAAACUACGACAAGGUCAUGGAACUCUACAAUGUUCAGAGGUUUAACCGUCAAGCUGUCCCACUUCCUACACCCCCUAGAUCUGAAGAUGAGGGUUCAAAAAUUGGAUCUGCUGAGGACAGCCCGGUUACGCCACCAUUAAGUAAAGAACGCUUACCCCGCAAUUUCCACCGGCCCGUAGGAAUGGGGUACUCAUCUUCAGAUUCACUUGAGCACCACCCAAUGCAGAUCCGCCAUUACUACGACUCUGGUGGUCUCACAUCAACACCAAAACUUUCAAGCAUCAGUGGAGCCAAGACUGAAACAUCAUCAAUGGAUGCUUCUGCAAGGUCAAGUUUGUCAAGGGAAGGGGAUCGCUCUGGAGAGCUCUCUGUUAGUAAUGCUAGUGAUCAGGAGACUGAAUGGGUUGAACAGGAUGAACCUGGUGUCUACAUUACCAUCAGAGCACUGCCCGGUGGCACCAGGGAGCUGAGGCGUGUCAGGUUCAGUUCUUGGAAGACAUGAGGCCUUCUGACUGUUAGCUAGUGGUGGUCUUUUUUCACUUCAACCCCUUGCGUAUUUAAGAAAAACGAAUCAUGGGGGUGCCGAAACUUUUAACUGUGCCGUGGUAGAUGUUUGACCUUUAAAUGUCUAGCCUAUCCAUGAGCCGUUUUUCUCGGUCGCUGUGAUUCCUGCCUCAUCACCAACCGGGUCUCAGACUCUCUCAAUUCCAACGAAUAAAUAAUGAUAUCCACGCCGAGAAAGGUUCGGGGAAAUGCACGCAAGGUUGUGGUGGGAAGAGAACCGAGCCAGAAUACAUGAACAGUACUUGUAAUUUGAGGAAAACUA
Molecule: RNA transcript, 1844 nt
Organism: Nelumbo nucifera (sacred lotus)
Lineage: Eukaryota; Viridiplantae; Streptophyta; Magnoliopsida; Proteales; Nelumbonaceae
Gene name: protein Brevis radix-like 4
Source: RefSeq, a predicted model, not a curated record